AGCGAACUGAUUAGAAGCUUGCUUCUAUGACGUUAGCGGCGGACGGGUGAGUAACACGUGGGCAACCUGCCUGUAAGACUGGGAUAACUUCGGGAAACCGAAGCUAAUACCGGAUAGGAUCUUCUCCUUCAUGGGAGAUGAUUGAAAGAUGGUUUCGGCUAUCACUUACAGAUGGGCCCGCGGUGCAUUAGCUAGUUGGUGAGGUAACGGCUCACCAAGGCAACGAUGCAUAGCCGACCUGAGAGGGUGAUCGGCCACACUGGGACUGAGACACGGCCCAGACUCCUACGGGAGGCAGCAGUAGGGAAUCUUCCGCAAUGGACGAAAGUCUGACGGAGCAACGCCGCGUGAGUGAUGAAGGCUUUCGGGUCGUAAAACUCUGUUGUUAGGGAAGAACAAGUACGAGAGUAACUGCUCGUACCUUGACGGUACCUAACCAGAAAGCCACGGCUAACUACGUGCCAGCAGCCGCGGUAAUACGUAUGUGGCAAGCGUUAUCCGGAAUUAUUGGGCGUAAAGCGCGCGCAGGCGGUUUCUUAAGUCUGAUGU
RNAcentral lists this ribosomal RNA (549 nucleotides) under Priestia aryabhattai. RNAcentral describes it as "bacterial SSU rRNA". It matches the Rfam family "Bacterial small subunit ribosomal RNA", at positions 65 to 595 of the family's 1533-position model. The record is from RNAcentral. Lineage: Bacteria; Bacillati; Bacillota; Bacilli; Caryophanales; Bacillaceae.